GUUCCGGGCUAAUACUAAUGUUAACCCUAAAGAAGAAUGCAAAGUUGUGGUGACAAGUGAUGAAGGAAGAGCUGAAAGGAAGUUGUAGAGAUUGGAAACAGUGAUCAAAAGGAGGAAGGUGAAGCCAUUGAGAGUAGCAACAGUAGUUGAGGAGAAGAAGAAGAGGAAGCAAGAGAUAGUCAUAAUGAGCAGAACAAAGAAAUUUAUAAUCAAAUAACUAUUAUGCCUUCAAUUAUCAAACAGAUUCCUACAAGAAUGAAAUUUUAUCUUGGAGAUAUGAUAGAUUUAGAUGAAGAUGAUGAUGAGUAGGAAUUUGAGAUUCAACCUCCAAGGAAUUAUCCGCUUAAAGUAAAAG
Molecule: long non-coding RNA, 355 nt
Filed under: Vigna radiata
Lineage: Eukaryota; Viridiplantae; Streptophyta; Magnoliopsida; Fabales; Fabaceae
Description: long non-coding RNA (VRAD_LNC018481)
Source: RNAcentral